RNAcentral lists this ribosomal RNA (500 nucleotides) under Fusarium sp. Sj/7/4. RNAcentral's name for it is "eukaryotic LSU rRNA". The stretch from base 126 to 279 matches the Rfam family "5.8S ribosomal RNA". The record is from RNAcentral. Lineage: Eukaryota; Fungi; Ascomycota; Sordariomycetes; Hypocreales; Nectriaceae.
GUGAACAUACCUAAAACGUUGCUUCGGCGGGAACAGACGGCCCUGUAACAACGGGCCGCCCCCGCCAGAGGACCCCUAACUCUGUUUUUAUAAUGUUUUUCUGAGUAAACAAGCAAAUAAAUUAAAACUUUCAACAACGGAUCUCUUGGCUCUGGCAUCGAUGAAGAACGCAGCGAAAUGCGAUAAGUAAUGUGAAUUGCAGAAUUCAGUGAAUCAUCGAAUCUUUGAACGCACAUUGCGCCCGCCAGUAUUCUGGCGGGCAUGCCUGUUCGAGCGUCAUUACAACCCUCAGGCCCCCGGGCCUGGCGUUGGGGAUCGGCAGAAGCCCCCUGUGGGCACACGCCGUCCCUCAAAUACAGUGGCGGUCCCGCCGCAGCUUCCAUUGCGUAGUAGCUAACACCUCGCAACUGGAGAGCGGCGCGGCCAUGCCGUAAAACACCCAACUUCUGAAUGUUGACCUCGAAUCAGGUAGGAAUACCCGCUGAACUUAAGCAUAUCAU